AGAAUCAACGCUGGCGGCGUGCCUAACACAUGCAAGUCGCACGAGAAAGGGACUUCGGUCCUGAGUAAAGUGGCGCACGGGUGAGUAACACGUGAAUAAUCUACCUCCGAGUGGGGAAUAACUGAGAGAAAUCUUAGCUAAUACCGCAUAACACUUACGAGUCAAAGCAGCAAUGCGCUUGGAGAGGAAUUCGCGGCAGAUUAGUUAGUUGGCGGGGUAAUGGCCCACCAAGACGAUGAUCUGUA
This 245-nucleotide ribosomal RNA is filed under the name uncultured bacterium. RNAcentral's name for it is "partial small subunit ribosomal RNA". It matches the Rfam family "Bacterial small subunit ribosomal RNA", at positions 26 to 285 of the family's 1533-position model. The record is from RNAcentral.